Molecule: ribosomal RNA, 253 nt
Filed under: uncultured bacterium
Lineage: Bacteria
Description: partial 16S ribosomal RNA
Rfam family: Bacterial small subunit ribosomal RNA
Source: RNAcentral
UACGGAGGGUGCGAGCGUUGUCCGGAAUCACUGGGCGUAAAGGGUGCGUAGGUGGCGUGGUAAGUCGGGUGUGAAAUUUCGGAGCUUAACUCCGAAACUGCAUUCGAUACUGCCGUGCUUGAGGACUGGAGAGGAGACUGGAAUUUACGGUGUAGCAGUGAAAUGCGUAGAGAUCGUAAGGAAGACCAGUGGCGAAGGCGGGUCUCUGGACAGUUCCUGACACUGAGGCACGAAGGCCAGGGGAGCAAACGGG